Long non-coding RNA from Capsicum annuum, 2979 nucleotides. RefSeq lists it as uncharacterized. The record is from RefSeq and is a predicted model, not a curated record. The transcript is spliced from 2 exons. Lineage: Eukaryota; Viridiplantae; Streptophyta; Magnoliopsida; Solanales; Solanaceae.
AAUAUCCCAUUAACCUAAUAAGCCUAAGGACCGGUCAUCUCUUUCUCUCUAAUGUUGUAUCUCAGCCAGAGAACUCAAACAGACUAACAAAAUCGCUCCUCGAUGUCUGCACUCCGUACGACCCUCAAAUCAUAGGACAAAUGGCAAAAUCUAUUGAUUUGAUCUCUCUUUUCUUCUGCUCUCUCUAUUUUCAUCUCACUCAAUAUCACCUGCCCUCCCAUCACCUUUGUUGAAGCAAAAAUGCUAUACAAUUCCAUCAAAAGAUAGGAAAAUUCAAAGACCCAUCGAUUUUAAGGUAUUUUUGCCUUUGAUUCAACAGCUACGAAGCUUAAAUCGAUGGAUCCAAAGCCUCUCCACCUCCAAACCAUCACUCGUCUCUCAAAUCGACUGAGCAUAGGGGACCCCUUGCCCUUCUUUAUCUCUUUUUCAUCUGAAUUUUUCCUAUUCAAGAAUUCAAAAAUUUUGAAAUUUUUAAAGCUUCUCAAAAAGUCGUUGCAUCCCAAAAUUUGCCUAUAAAAAGAGGCCUUAUUCGCCCCUUUAGGAUAUGGUUCAAGUGUUAGAAAAAUUGAAGAAUUUUGAGUCCCAUACUAUUUCACUUCCCAAGUUUUCUUGCUUUAUUUUUAGUUUUCAAUUACCUUCCUCCCGACUCUUAUUGCUUUUCUUUGCUCGCAUUCGAAGUUGGUGAAAAAUCAUUCAUCGAAUCGUGGUUUAGGUUCGCUCUCCGAAAUAAAUUCAAGCUCGAAUCUCCAACGAGUAAGCCCCAGUUUGUUGCCCCAGAGAAGGUUGCUAUGAAUGUCCAACGGCCACUGCUUUCGUCCAAUUGUAAGUUUAAGGAUAGUUUAAUCUCCGUCGAAGAUUGACGAGUUUGUUAUUAUCCCCCCACCAAAGUAAGUAUAAUCUCAUUUAAGAUGCCAUAUGUUUCUCUCGUCAUUCAUGAACACAUUAUUUAAAUUUGAACCGAACUCUUUUAUUUAUGCAAAGUGUUCAAGUUUGGUGUGAGAAUUGUUAUGUUCAUCCUUGAACUUCAAAGGUCCGUUAAAAGAUUUUCUUCUCAAUCGUACCUCCUCUCGCCAUGUUCAAGUGUGAUUUUUUUAUUUUUUUUUAAGAAAAUGAGCUACUUUUUCUCUUUCUCCCUGUACCAUUCUAUAAUAGCUUCAAUUCUUGAAUAAAUAACUACUAUCACCAUCUUUUACUUAAAAAGUAAAAGCCUUUUAAAGAAGUGUGGAAAAUGAGAUUAGGCUUUUUGGUCUCCUCUCUUACUCACGCCAUUAGUUUAAGAAAAAUAUAUCUUCACUUUCUAUCCUUACUAUUUAUUAUUUUAAGACGAACAAGUUAAAUAUUAUAUUAAUUUUGAGAUGCUUGGUUUGAUGCGUUUCCAUGAACUUUUUUCUUAACUUUAAAAAUUAGUCAAAUUAAGUUCGAAAAGUAAGACUUGACAAUUACUUUUGAACGGAAGGACUAUCACAUUUUGAGUGGGAUGAGUAGCUAAGGACCUCAGCAUGAUUCGACCUACUUUACUACAUAGUAUUAGGUACCUGAUUUCAAUGGCAUCAUUUAAAAGAUAUUCAAUUAUCAAAAAUAAUAUUGAAAUUAUAAAUUCCAAAAUUAAAAGUUGAACAAAAUGCAAUAUAAAAUGAUUUCAUAUAUUAUUUCGAAAUUAUUAUCCUUUAUCCCGCAAAUCAAACAAACACUCAAGGUCAUUAAAUUAAAUCCACGUAGCUUUAACUCCUUUUCAAUACUAUCCCUUUUAUUCUCAAGAAUGCAUGUUAUCCCUAAUAACAGAAAUUAGCAUACCUAAGACUAUAAUUCUAAUAAAUAGCAAUACUAUUUCAAAAUUACAACUUAUAGCAAAAGUAGCAAUACUUUACCCUCUUUUUAGAGAGAAGCGUGUAUUUCUCCAUCAGUUUGCCUUUUCCCCUUUUUCACACAAUAUUCACUUCUUUCUCUCCAAUUAACCACAUCUUCUAUUUGUUUUUUUUCAAUUAUCUCUCAAUCUUUUGAUAAACAGUGUGCUCCAUAGUAUUGGCAUCUCAUCGUUUCACAUAAUUUAUAUUUUAUUUUAUUUUCGUAUUGCUUUCUUCUUUUAUUUUAUUUUUUGGUAUUUUAUUAUUUUUUUAGUAUUUUUCCAGCCAAGGAAUGCCGCUCCCGGUGAUGGAUGGGCGGGUGACUUCGAUUGGACUCGCCGGUUUAACAUAUUUUUGAUAAACACAUAGAUUAUUGUGAGUUUAAAGCUUAUCCAUAAGAUAGCCUCAUAGGCUAUGACAUCCAGUUUUCAACAUUUCUUGUUCUAUUAACAUGAUUUCCUCAUCUUUAUUACCGUGACCAUCAGCGGAAGUCGUUUUCAAGUGGUCUCUUGCUGAAAAAUAUUUUAUUUUUUUACUAUUUUGACGGGAGUACUGUUGUAACUUGUAUCUACACUUCCUUAGAGAUUCUCUAAUCUGUGGUUCAUUAUAGGAUUGCAAAAUAUCAGGAAGUAAAUCCUGGUGUUUUCACAAUAGUAACUUUCUCAUUCCUCUUUGUUGUCAUGUUUGGAGACUAGGGACAUGGUAUAUGCUUGUUUCUUGCAAGGCGUUUUUUGGUGAAUUUUCAAUGGAGGGAGGGUCUGUCCGGCGAAUUGCACCGUGACGGUAAUCAGCAGCGACAGUAAUGGCGUUUUACCAACGAGUAUUAGCUGAAAUCAAUCACAAUGGUUGAAUUUUAUUCGAUGAUUCGCUGAUUUUGCAGAUCCAGUCUUAGCUAGUUUUUAUGGAUUUUUCGAUGAUGUAAUAGCGGUGGAUCAGUAUAUUCCGACGAGAUUUCUAUAAUAUGUAAUUUUUACUGUAUAGAUAUGCAUUUGUAUUUUUUAAUGAUAAGAUUUGUAUUUAUAUAUGUAUUUGAUUUGGUACUGAUAAGAUUUGUAUUUGCUAUAAUGUAGAUAUGUAUUUGUAUUUGGUAUUGUAAAAUUUCUAUUUAUUACAGUAUAGAUAUGUAUUUUUUUAA